UACCAGCACCCCGAGUGGUCGGGACGAUUAUUGGGCCUAAAGCAUCCGUAGCCGGUUCUACAAGUCUUCCGUUAAAUCCACCUGCUUAACAGAUGGGCUGCGGGGGAUACUACAGGGCUAGGAGGCGGGAGAGGCAAGCGGUACUCGAUGGGUAGGGGUAAAAUCCACUGAUCCAUUGAAGACCACCAGUGGCGAAGGCGGCUUGCCAGAACGCGCUCGACGGUGAGGGAUGAAAGCUGGGGGAGCAAACCGG
Molecule: ribosomal RNA, 253 nt
Filed under: uncultured bacterium
Lineage: Bacteria
Description: partial 16S ribosomal RNA
Rfam family: Archaeal small subunit ribosomal RNA
Source: RNAcentral